Molecule: non-coding RNA, 104 nt
Organism: Pelobates cultripes (western spadefoot toad)
Lineage: Eukaryota; Metazoa; Chordata; Amphibia; Anura; Pelobatidae
Source: the annotation of a GenBank genome assembly
CAUACACACACACACUGCGCCCCUCACACAUACAAUACGUCAAAAUAUAUAUAUAUAUAUUUGGACGUAUUGUAUGUGUGAGGGGCGCAGUGUGUGUGUGUAUG